UCUCUCCCCACACUCGCGGAAUGAUACCGCUACUGCCUGAGUAAACAAGGGAAUGGAAAGGAAAACAAAACCACAGACUCCCCACAGCAAACAAAAUGCUUUGGCGUCUUUUUUAAUGGCUACGCGUCUCCAUAUUUUUUUUCCGAGAAAAUCACUGUCUAUCCAUACUGAGACAGCCAAUGAAAGAUGUGUAUCAACAACUCGGUGUGAUGGAUGACCAGCCACCCGCGUGAGGCAGCUGCUUCCCUUCUUAACCACAACAGCCAAUUCACGAAGUGGAGAACGAUAGGCAAACACCUGUGGCCUCUCCAGUGUAUGCAUUGGAAGAACACUUUGCAAAGCAAACGACACUGCACAGCAGCAAAAAUAUUGCAUUUGCCAGGAAAAAGACAGCCUGGGUGGAAACACUAAGUCUGCAACAUGUUCAGGGAGAAGUCAAAUUAUUCAGUUUGCAGGUGAAGAAAUGAUGCUGGAUUUGAAUACAGAAAUAAUUCAACUCAGGAGCAAUA
Rhincodon typus (whale shark) is the source of this 509-nucleotide long non-coding RNA. RefSeq lists it as uncharacterized. The transcript has 3 exons. The record is from RefSeq and is a predicted model, not a curated record. Lineage: Eukaryota; Metazoa; Chordata; Chondrichthyes; Orectolobiformes; Rhincodontidae.